Molecule: transfer RNA, 83 nt
Filed under: Candidatus Enterosoma merdigallinarum
Lineage: Bacteria; Bacillati; Bacillota; Bacilli; Caryophanales
Description: tRNA-Leu
Rfam family: tRNA
About the family: Transfer RNA (tRNA) molecules are approximately 80 nucleotides in length. Their secondary structure includes four short double-helical elements and three loops (D, anti-codon, and T loops). Further hydrogen bonds mediate the characteristic L-shaped molecular structure. tRNAs have two regions of fundamental functional importance: the anti-codon, which is responsible for specific mRNA codon recognition, and the 3' end, to which the tRNAs corresponding amino acid is attached (by aminoacyl-tRNA synthetases). tRNAs cope with the degeneracy of the genetic code in two manners: having more than one tRNA (with a specific anti-codon) for a particular amino acid; and 'wobble' base-pairing, i.e. permitting non-standard base-pairing at the 3rd anti-codon position.
Source: RNAcentral
GGGGCCGUGGCGGAAAUGGUAGACGCGCUAGAUUCAGGUUCUAGUGAGCAAUCGUGGGGGUUCGAGUCCCCCCGGCCCCACCA